Amblyraja radiata (thorny skate) is the source of this 148-nucleotide long non-coding RNA. RefSeq lists it as uncharacterized. The record is from RefSeq and is a predicted model, not a curated record. Lineage: Eukaryota; Metazoa; Chordata; Chondrichthyes; Rajiformes; Rajidae. The transcript is spliced from 3 exons.
AGAGUUUAAUUUGUGUCCAGGAUCGAAGCAAGUACGUGCUGGAAAGAUCAACGGAGAAGGGACCUGCCGUCAUGUUCCAAGCUGUCACCUUCCCAGUGGCUCUGGUCUUCAUCCUGCAGAUCAGCUCGUCGCUUGCAGAUGUAGAUUG